RNAcentral lists this ribosomal RNA (1409 nucleotides) under Trachelomonas rugulosa. RNAcentral's name for it is "16S ribosomal RNA". It matches the Rfam family "Bacterial small subunit ribosomal RNA". Lineage: Eukaryota; Euglenozoa; Euglenophyceae; Euglenales; Euglenaceae. The record is from RNAcentral.
GCUCAGGAUGAACGCUGGCGGUAUGCUUAACACAUGCAAGUUGAACGGUUUUUUAAACAGUAACGGACGGGUGAGUAUUGUAUAAGAAUCAACGUUUAGGUAGGGUAUAACAUUUAGAAAUUUUUGCUAAUCCCCUAUAUUGCUAUUAUGUAAAAGAUUUUUCGCCUAGACAUGAGCUUAUAUUUGAUUAGUUAGUUGGUAAGUUAAUAGCCUACCAAGACAAUGAUCAAUAGUUAGUUUGAGAAAAUGAUUAGCCACAUUGGAAUUGAGAUACGGAACAGACUUCUACGGAAGGCAGCAGUGAGGAAUAUUCCGCAAUGAGUGAAAGCUUGACGGAGCAAUACCGCGUGAAGGAUGAAGGCUUUAGGGUCGUAAUCUUCUUUUGUUACUGAAGAAUUAAUGACGGUAAGUAACGAAUAAGCAUCGGCUAAUUUUGUGCCAGCAGCCGCGGUAAUACAAGAGAUGCGAGCGUUAUCUGGAAUUAUUGGGCGUAAAGAGUUUGUAGGCGGUAAAAUGUGUUUGAUGUAAAAUCUUAAAGCUUAACUUUAUGUCUGCAUCAAAAACUGUUUUGCUAGAAUAUAGUAGAGGUAAAGGGAAUUUCCAGUGUAGUAGUGAAAUACGUAGAUAUUGGAAGGAACACCAGUGGCGAAGGCGCUUUACUAGGCUAAUAUUGACGCUGAGAAACGAAAGCUAAGGGAGCAAAUCGGAUUAGAUACCCGAGUAGUCUUAGCUGUAAAUGUUGGAUAUUAGGUGGCGGUUGUCCGCUGCUGUAGUUAACGCGUUAAAUAUCCCGCCUGGGGAGUAUGCUUGCAAAAGUGAAACUCAAAGGAAUUGACGGGGAUCCGCACAAGCAGUGGAGCAUGUGAUUUAAUUCGAUGGUACACGAAGAAUCUUACCAGGGUUUGACAUGUUAGGAAAUUUUCUGAAAAGAGAAUGUGCCGAUAGGAACCUAAACACAAGUGGUGCAUGGCUGUCGUCAGCUCGUGUUGUGAAAUGUCGGGUUAAGUCCCGUAACGAGCGCAACCCCUAUUCUUAGUUAUUUUAAAAUUUAAGAAGACUGCUGACGUCAAGUCAGAGGAAGGUGGGGAUGAGGUCAAGUCAUCAUGCCCUUUAUAUCCUGGGCUAUACACGUGCUACAAUGGUUAAGACAAUGAGUUGCUAAUUUGCGAAAAUAAGCUAAUCUCUUAAACUUAACCUCAGUUCAGAUAGUAGGCUGCAACUCGCCUAUUUGAAGUCGGAAUUGCUAGUAAUCGCCAAUCAUCUAUGUGGCGGUGAAUACGUUCCCGGAUCUUGCCCACACCGCCCGUCACACCAUGGAAGUUAGCUGUGUCUGAAGAUAUUAUUCUAACAUUUGGGGAAGGUAUCUAAGGCCUGGUUGGUAACUGGGGUGAAGUCGUAACAAGGUAGCC